This 976-nucleotide ribosomal RNA is filed under the name uncultured Methanosarcinales archaeon. Its description in RNAcentral is "bacterial SSU rRNA". It matches the Rfam family "Archaeal small subunit ribosomal RNA", at positions 42 to 1022 of the family's 1478-position model. Lineage: Archaea; Methanobacteriati; Methanobacteriota; Methanomicrobia; Methanosarcinales. The record is from RNAcentral.
UCUUAAGCCAUUUGCGAGUCGAAUGUAGCAAUACAUGGCGUACUGCUCAGUAACACGUGGACAACCUACCCUCCGGACGGGUAUAAACCCGGGAAACUGGGUAUAAUUCCCGAUAGAUCUCGGUCGCUGGAAUGCCCCGAGAUCGAAAGCUCCGGCGCCAGAGGAUGGGUCUGCGGCCUAUCAGGUAGUAGUGGGUGUAGCGUACCUACUAGCCUACGACGGGUACGGGUUGUGAGAGCAAGAGCCCGGAGAUGGAUUCUGAGACACGAAUCCAGGCCCUACGGGGUGCAGCAGGCGCGAAAACUUUACAAUGCCGGCAACGGCGAUAAGGGGACCUCGAGUGCCAGGUUACAAAUCUGGCUGUCGUGAUGCCUAAAAAGCAUUGCAUAGCAAGGGCCGGGCAAGACCGGUGCCAGCCGCCGCGGUAACACCGGCAGCUCGAGUGGUAACCGUUAUUAUUGGGUCUAAAGGGUCUGUAGCCGGCCGGAUAAGUCUCUUGAGAAAUCCAGCAGCUCAACUGUUGGGCUUUCAGGAGAUACUGUUCGGCUCGAGGCCGGGAGAGGUGAGAGGUACUUCAGGGGUAGGGGUGAAAUCUUGUAAUCCUUGAAGGACCACCAGUGGCGAAGGCGUCUCACCAGAACGGACCUGACGGCAAGGGACGAAAGCUAGGGGCACGAACCGGAUUAGAUACCCGGGUAGUCCUAGCCGUAAACGAUACUCGCUAGGUGUCGGCCACGGUGCGACCGUUGUCGGUGCCGUAGGGAAGCCGUGAAGCGAGCCACCUGGGAAGUACGGCCGCAAGGCUGAAACUUAAAGGAAUUGGCGGGGGAGCACCACAACGGGUGGAGCUUGCGGUUUAAUUGGAUUCAACGCCGGAAAUCUUACCGGGACCGACAGCAAUAUGAAGGCCAGGCUGAAGACUUUGCCGGAUUAGCUGAGAGGUGGUGCAUGGCCGUCGUCAGUCGUACUGAAGGAC